UUAGGAAUCUUGCGCAAUGGGCGAAAGCCUGACGCAGCGACGCCGCGUGACUGAUGAAGUCCUUCGGGAUGUAAAAGUCUUUUGCCAGGGAAGAAGGAUGUGACGGUACCUGGCGAAUAAGCCCCGGCUAACUACGUGCCAGCAGCCGCGGUAAUACGUAGGGGGCGAGCGUUGUCCGAAGUCACUGGGCGUAAAGCGCGCGUAGGCGGUCUUUUAAGUUGGAUGUGAAAUCCUGCGGCCCAACCGCAGAACUGCAUCCAAAACUGGGAGACUUGAGGAUGGAAGAGGGCAGUGGAAUUCCUGGUGUAGCGGUGAAAUGCGUAGAUAUCAGGAGGAGCACCCGUGGCGAAGGCGGCUGCCUGGUCCAUAUCUGACGCUGAGGUGCGAAAGCCAGGGGAGCGAACGG
Molecule: ribosomal RNA, 406 nt
Filed under: uncultured bacterium
Lineage: Bacteria
Description: bacterial SSU rRNA
Rfam family: Bacterial small subunit ribosomal RNA
Source: RNAcentral